AGCGAGACAGUGAAUACAAUAAUAUAUAUAGAAUAGAGUGGGAUACAUUGAAAUACAAUGAAAAAAAAAGGUAGUGAAUACAAUGAAAUACAUAAAAUAUAGCGAGAUACAUUGAAAUACGAUGAAAAAAAAAGACAAUGAAUACAUUGAAAUACAACGAGAUACAUUGAAUUAUAUUAACAGAAAAUUCAAGCUGCUCACCCCCAACAUCGUCUUUGUUCAAGAACAACCCUAAUGUCGUCUCGUUGAAGCAACAUCAGUAUCCAGUUCUCGCUCGUCGUCGUCGCUGCCUCCGGUUACUGACGAUUAGCACGUAAAUACCGGCAAAAUAAUGGAGACUUCUCCAAAACCUUU
RNAcentral lists this long non-coding RNA (354 nucleotides) under Nicotiana benthamiana. Its description in RNAcentral is "long non-coding RNA (NBEN_LNC025631)". The record is from RNAcentral. Lineage: Eukaryota; Viridiplantae; Streptophyta; Magnoliopsida; Solanales; Solanaceae.